This 121-nucleotide long non-coding RNA is filed under the name Cyanistes caeruleus (blue tit). RNAcentral's name for it is "lncRNA (ENSCCEG00000011699.1)". Lineage: Eukaryota; Metazoa; Chordata; Aves; Passeriformes; Paridae. The record is from RNAcentral.
GACGCUUCUGCUUCUGUUUUCUAGUUUGAACUGAGAACGUCUUCGCAGGUGUACUUGCAGGGCAGGCUGUCACAGAUGAACCAGUGUCACUCCGGAGCUCUCAGUGUGCUGCGUGUGGACU